UAAUACGGAGGGUGCGAGCGUUAAUCGGAAUUACUGGGCGUAAAGGGUGCGUAGGUGGUUGUAUAAGUUAUCUGUGAAAUUCCUGGGCUUAACCUGGGGUGGUCAGAUAAGACUGUAUGACUCGAGUAUGGGAGAGGGUAGUGGAAUUUCCGGUGUAGCGGUGAAAUGCGUAGAGAUCGGAAGGAACACCAGUGGCGAAGGCGGCUACCUGGCCUAAUACUGACACUGAGGCACGAAAGCGUGGGGAGCAAACAGG
This 256-nucleotide ribosomal RNA is filed under the name uncultured bacterium. RNAcentral describes it as "partial 16S ribosomal RNA". It matches the Rfam family "Bacterial small subunit ribosomal RNA", at positions 521 to 776 of the family's 1533-position model. The record is from RNAcentral.